GUACACUCCUGCGGGAGGCAGCAGUGGGGAAUAUUGGACAAUGGGCGCAAGCCUGAUCCAGCCAUGCCGCGUGAGUGAUGAAGGCCCUAGGGUUGUAAAGCUCUUUCACCGGUGAAGAUAAUGACGGUAACCGGAGAAGAAGCCCCGGCUAACUUCGUGCCAGCAGCCGCGGUAAUACGAAGGGGGCUAGCGUUGUUCGGAUUUACUGGGCGUAAAGCGCACGUAGGCGGACUAUUAAGUCAGGGGUGAAAUCCCGGGGCUCAACCCCGGAACUGCCUUUGAUACUGGUAGUCUUGAGUUCGAGAGAGGUGAGUGGAAUUCCGAGUGUAGAGGUGAAAUUCGUAGAUAUUCGGAGGAACACCAGUGGCGAAGGCGGCUCACUGGCUCGAUACUGACGCUGAGGUGCGAAAGCGUGGGGAGCAAACAGGAUUAGAUACCCGGGUAGUCCCAUGA
Molecule: ribosomal RNA, 453 nt
Filed under: uncultured organism
Description: partial 16S ribosomal RNA
Rfam family: Bacterial small subunit ribosomal RNA
Source: RNAcentral